CAAUAGCGUAUAUUAAAGUUGUUGCAGUUAAAAAGCUCGUAGUUGGAUUUCUGUGAGAGUGCCGGUGUCGGCUGAUGCUUGUACGCAGGCGCCCUUACAUCCUUCUGUUAACUGUUCUUGGCAUUUUAUUGCUGGUUCAGGGCUCAGAUAUUUUACCUUGAGAAAAUUAGAGUGUUUCAGGCAGGCUUAUGCCGGAAUACAUUAGCAUGGAAUAAUGGAACAGGACCUGUGCGUCUCUCGGGGCGCCGGUCUCCGUUGUUGGUUUCGGGGACUAAUGUAAUGAUUAAUAGGGAUAGUUGGGGGCAUUAGUAUUUAAUAGUCAGAGGUGAAAUUCUCGGAUUUGUUAAAGACUAACUUAUGCGAAAGCAUUUGCCAAGGAUGUUUUCAUUAA
RNAcentral lists this ribosomal RNA (391 nucleotides) under uncultured eukaryote. RNAcentral describes it as "partial 18S ribosomal RNA". It matches the Rfam family "Eukaryotic small subunit ribosomal RNA", at positions 592 to 976 of the family's 1831-position model. The record is from RNAcentral.